AUGUGCCACUUGUGCACUCUGGUUCCCACGCACCGUCCGCACCCACCUAGCGACUGCUCGCUAGGUAGUGUUAGCC
Molecule: small RNA, 76 nt
Filed under: Xanthomonas campestris pv. incanae
Lineage: Bacteria; Pseudomonadati; Pseudomonadota; Gammaproteobacteria; Lysobacterales; Lysobacteraceae
Description: sX9 sRNA
Rfam family: Xanthomonas sRNA sX9
Source: RNAcentral